RNAcentral lists this long non-coding RNA (335 nucleotides) under Ursus maritimus (polar bear). RNAcentral describes it as "lncRNA (ENSUMAG00000024211.1)". Lineage: Eukaryota; Metazoa; Chordata; Mammalia; Carnivora; Ursidae. The record is from RNAcentral.
GCGCGUUCGUGGGUGGUGAAGUGGGCCCGGCCCGGGCUCCCGACUCGCGGGAACCGAGGACCAAGUCGGCGCCGGGGCUGGCAGCGAAACCUCGGGCGCUCAGUGAUGAAGGGUGCGAUGAGCCGGGCAGGCUGACGGGGUCCGGGACCUUGCCUGUGACUCCCCCCAUGGCUUAGAGGCGCGGCGCCGGCCAGAGGAGUUUCGUUCGGCCUGAGUCCAGAGUCCUUCUGGAUCAGUGUUCUUUCCCAGGACGUGGGGAGCCCAUUCCCCCAACUCCCAUACACACAAGCCCUGAAAAUGUGGAGUGAGACCUGUCCUGCGUACAAAGCCUAACA